AUGGCGACGACGUCAUGGAUGGCUCGAAGGCGAGGGCGACGACGCCGUGGACCGCUCCACCUCCUGGUUAUUCUCUGCCCCACGAGCGAAGGGCGAGUCGAUAGCCUCGCGAACGGCUCGGCUUCCUCGUCCAAUCUCUCAGUCGCCCGUGCUGGUGAACUCCACCGGUCCAGAUUUGGUCCUCCGAUGCCUUGGCUGAGUCGAGUGGCCCCAUCUCCCAUGACCCAUCUACCAUCUUCUUGUCGCUGGAGGUUGGCUAGGAGAGAGCCGCCUUGGAUCAAUGCGACGGGGAAGGAGGCGUCCGUGCAGCACCGGGGUCGCGCAGGUCGCCGCCGCCCAGGCCGUGCACCACCGCCCGCUGGUUCUCCAGAUCACACCCGGCCACAGCGCCACCAUAUCGGCACGUCACAAGAGUGGACAUGGCAGCCGCCACGGGCAGAGCAGAGCGAAGACGACGGGGUGUAG
This 465-nucleotide ribosomal RNA is filed under the name Triticum aestivum (bread wheat). RNAcentral's name for it is "partial small subunit ribosomal RNA". The record is from RNAcentral. Lineage: Eukaryota; Viridiplantae; Streptophyta; Magnoliopsida; Poales; Poaceae.